AGGAACAGGUUGGUGUGGUGCUGGGGCGGAUCAUUAUGAGCCUCUUAUUGCUUCUCCUUCAGCUUAUGUUUCGCAGGAAAAGGUAGCAUUGGUUCUGUAGGUAAUUAGUUGAGGUGGUUAAGAGAGGUGGUAGUUAGUUAUUUGGUUUUCAAUUGGAAAGAUGUUCCCGAUUCUUUUCUAGGUUUAAGGAGGAAGAUGUCCAAUUGGGACAUCAAAUUUUUGUUGAAGAGGGUAUGUAGGAUUUCGAAGUCCAUCAUCAGGCAUGCCUGCGUGGCCUGGCCUGGUUAUAUUUAGUUUUGUUGCCGGCUCGUUUUGUUGUGCAUUUUUUUGAGGCUAGUUGUAGUUUUGCUGCUGAGUGCUGUGGGGGUUCUAUUCUUUUGAGAGGUGUAGUACACUUAAUUUGUUGUAACUCAUGCUGAAUUCCAAUCUUAACAAGGAAAA
RNAcentral lists this unclassified non-coding RNA (441 nucleotides) under Hevea brasiliensis (rubber tree). The record is from RNAcentral. Lineage: Eukaryota; Viridiplantae; Streptophyta; Magnoliopsida; Malpighiales; Euphorbiaceae.